Molecule: long non-coding RNA, 821 nt
Organism: Poeciliopsis prolifica (blackstripe livebearer)
Lineage: Eukaryota; Metazoa; Chordata; Actinopteri; Cyprinodontiformes; Poeciliidae
Exons: 3
Source: RefSeq, a predicted model, not a curated record
GCGUUAAUGAUGUCAUUAGAAAGCAGACAGGUCAGAACAACGCAACGCAUGGGUUUUCGCAGUAACACGGCUACUGUUAUACAAUUGGUCCUAGAAAGCACUGUCGUUUUACACCUACUCCAACCGGCUUCAUUAAAGACUCAACGCAAGCGCUCCAGUCUGUGUGAUUCCUUUGGAGAGGAGUUUAGCUGAGUGUCGACUCCGGCAAGGCGUUGGAGGUUGAGGACAUGACGGUCAACACGGUGAAUCCAAACCAAGACAACUCAGAAUCUUCAUGAUGGAGACGACUGGGAUGCAACCUGCGCUGAUAAAUUUAUUUUCUACAGACAGAAAACUAAUGCAUAAUGAAUUGCAACACAAACAUCAUGUGAAAAUGACAAGACAACCAUCAUCAUCAUCAAAGUUGUGUUGAAGAAUUACCUUCUCGUCUCUGUGUGAUUGACUGUGAUGCCGCAGCAAAGCUGAAAAAUCACGGCGAUGGAUUUGCUGUUUUAAACUUCUACUAAAUCAACAAACUGUCCAAGAGGAAAAAAGGCCUUCUGUUUAAGACUGUUCCCUUCUUAAAGUGAAAGAAGCUCGAAAAUGUCAGAUUUGGAUGAUAUCAUUAGGCUUUACUUCAGACUCUCUUUAAAUAACAAAGAAAUCCUUCAAAUUUUAGCGCACAGUCAUCAUACUAUAUUAAGUAAUCGUACUCUAAAAAGAAUUUGCAGAAGACUUGGGCUGUUUCGAAGAAAGAAUUAGUCCGACCUUGAAGAAGUGCUAGCCUUUGUCCAACAACAAAUAAUGACUAAUGGACAAAUGCAAGGUUAUCAGUGGCUACA